Molecule: ribosomal RNA, 253 nt
Filed under: uncultured bacterium
Lineage: Bacteria
Description: partial 16S ribosomal RNA
Rfam family: Bacterial small subunit ribosomal RNA
Source: RNAcentral
GACAGAGGGUGCAAACGUUGCUCGGAAUUACUGGGCGUAAAGCGCGUGUAGGCGGUGCCGCACGUCCGGUGUGAAAAUCCAGGGCUCAACCCUGGAAGGCCGGUGGAAACUGUCGGGCUAGAGUCCGGAAGAGGCGAGUGGAAUUCCCGGUGUAGCGGUGAAAUGCGCAGAUAUCGGGAGGAACACCAAUGGCGAAGGCAGCUCGCUGGGACGGUACUGACGCUGAGACGCGAAAGCGUGGGGAGCAAACAGG